UCUGUGAUGAGUUCCCUGUCUCUUUGCCGG
This 30-nucleotide non-coding RNA is filed under the name Mus musculus (house mouse). The record is from RNAcentral. Lineage: Eukaryota; Metazoa; Chordata; Mammalia; Rodentia; Muridae.